This 821-nucleotide ribosomal RNA is filed under the name Salmonella enterica subsp. enterica serovar Oranienburg. RNAcentral describes it as "partial 23S ribosomal RNA". It matches the Rfam family "Bacterial large subunit ribosomal RNA", at positions 416 to 1136 of the family's 2925-position model. The record is from RNAcentral. RNAcentral also lists the same sequence under 1 other name. Lineage: Bacteria; Pseudomonadati; Pseudomonadota; Gammaproteobacteria; Enterobacterales; Enterobacteriaceae.
GGCGGGACACGUGGUAUCCUGUCUGAAUAUGGGGGGACCAUCCUCCAAGGCUAAAUACUCCUGACUGACCGAUAGUGAACCAGUACCGUGAGGGAAAGGCGAAAAGAACCCCGGCGAGGGGAGUGAAAAAGAACCUGAAACCGUGUACGUACAAGCAGUGGGAGCCCCACCACUAAGCCAGUGGUGAACUCCACAUACGCAUCCUUUGCUGAGGAUACGGUUAACGGAGCGAAAGCGACGUUCAACCGCAAAAGAAGCAGAGGGGGCUUAGUGGUGGGGUGACUGCGUACCUUUUGUAUAAUGGGUCAGCGACUUAUAUUCUGUAGCAAGGUUAACCGUAUAGGGGAGCCGGAGGGAAACCGAGUCUUAAUUGGGCGUUAAGUUGCAGGGUAUAGACCCGAAACCCGGUGAUCUAGCCAUGGGCAGGUUGAAGGUUGGGUAACACUAACUGGAGGACCGAACCGACUAAUGUUGAAAAAUUAGCGGAUGACCUGUGGCUGGGGGUGAAAGGCCAAUCAAACCGGGAGAUAGCUGGUUCUCCCCGAAAGCUAUUUAGGUAGCGCCUCGUGAAUUCAUCUCCGGGGGUAGAGCACUGUUUCGGCUAGGGGGCCAUCCCGGCUUACCAACCCGAUGCAAACUGCGAAUACCGGAGAAUGUUAUCACGGGAGACACACGGCGGGUGCUAACGUCCGUCGUGAAGAGGGAAACAACCCAGACCGCCAGCUAAGGUCCCAAAGUCAUGGUUAAGUGGGAAACGAUGUGGGAAGGCCCAGACAGCCAGGAUGUUGGCUUAGAAGCAGCCAUCAUUUAAAGAAAGCGUA